This 149-nucleotide unclassified non-coding RNA is filed under the name uncultured Pseudeurotium. RNAcentral describes it as "partial internal transcribed spacer 2". Lineage: Eukaryota; Fungi; Ascomycota; Leotiomycetes; Thelebolales; Pseudeurotiaceae. The record is from RNAcentral.
CAACCCUCAAGCUCUGCUUGGUGUUGGGCCGCGCCGGUUCGCCGGCGGGCCUCAAAAUCAGUGGCGGCGCCAUCUGGCUCCACGCGUAGUAGUUUUCUCUCGCGUCCGGACGCCCGGUGGUGGCUAGCCAGCAACCCCCCAUUUUCACA